AUAAUACGUUCGAUGCGUGCAUCUGAGCAUUACACGUGUAAAUUAAUACUAAUUGUGCUGCAGUACAUAAUAUGCAACUAAUUAUUUGCUCAUUAACCAUGCAACUUUUUGUCUGCGUUCUCCGGUGAAAGCACAACAAUGCGGUGCAAGAGUCACCCUCGCAUAUUUACACCAAUUGAUGCUCCUUUACCUAAAGCGUAUGAUGGGAGAGAUCUAAUUGGAUCGGCAAAUGCAUGGGUAUUCUAGGUAUCACCUGUGGAGUAACUCCUAAAUAUAACAGUACCUAUCAGAUGUGGAGGAAACCCUGAAAAAAUAUAUUAAAUUAGUUACAAGUUACAGAAAAACCCUAGAAAUACAAAAAAAAUUAAAUUACAGCUGUCGCUCCUCUACCCAAAGCUUGAGGGCGAGAUCCAUUUGGAUCAAAAGAUGAACAAGCAUCAGAUCAAGCGGAAAGCCUAAACAUAGAAGAAUAUGUUAAAUUGGGGCUCAAGGUAUUCCAAGCAUCAGAUAUGAGUGCGUGAUGUUUCAACCCAUGUCCCUCUACAUACGUGUAGGUGAAAUCCAAUUGGAUCAAUAGACGGUGAUGGGAGAGCUCCGAUCGGCUCAAGAGAAAAGUAUUCCAGGCAUCCAGAUGUGGCAAACACCUUAAGAAUAGAAAAACAGAUUAAUUUAUAGGUGAUGCAUCUCUACCUAUAGGACUUGUGGGCGAGAUCGAAUUGGAUCAACAGAUGAGUAUUCCAAGUAUAAUAUGUGGUGAAAAUCCUAAAAGUAGAAAAAUAUAUUAAAUAAGGACUAUGGUUAGAGAAAGGGAAUUUCGGGAAAGUCUAAUUGGUCAGAAAUGGAAAUUCUUAAGUAUCAAAUGUAGUGGAAAGCCUUGAAUUAAAGAAGGUUAAAGUUGGAGAUCCUAUUCGCUGACCAGAGGGGUAAACCAACCAUCGCCCAUCGUGGUAGACAACCUACUAUUAGUGCUUGUUCACAAUGGACAUAAGCGUAACAAAAACAUAACAGAUACAUAAUUCAUAAUGUUGAAUAGUA
Photinus pyralis (common eastern firefly) is the source of this 1035-nucleotide long non-coding RNA. RefSeq lists it as uncharacterized. The transcript has 5 exons. The record is from RefSeq and is a predicted model, not a curated record. Lineage: Eukaryota; Metazoa; Arthropoda; Insecta; Coleoptera; Lampyridae.